GUGUCCUUGGUGUAGAGGCAACACAUGUCCCUGUUGUCGUCGAUUGCAAGCAGUUCGAAUGUCUCACAUACGGGCAAGUCCGGGGUUUGGAACCCCGAGGACACA
This is a non-coding RNA of Mycena haematopus, 105 nucleotides long. NCBI's taxonomy places the organism in Eukaryota, Fungi, Basidiomycota, Agaricomycetes, Agaricales, Mycenaceae. The record is from the annotation of a GenBank genome assembly.